RNAcentral lists this ribosomal RNA (162 nucleotides) under uncultured ammonia-oxidizing bacterium. RNAcentral's name for it is "partial 16S ribosomal RNA". It matches the Rfam family "Bacterial small subunit ribosomal RNA", at positions 372 to 526 of the family's 1533-position model. The record is from RNAcentral.
UGGGCGCAAGCCUGAUCCAGCCAUGCCGCGUGAGUGAAGAAGGCCUUCGGGUUGUAAAGCUCUUUCGCAAGGAAAGAAAACUUAUCUAUUAAUACUAGGUGAGGUUGACGGUACCUUGAUAAGAAGCACCGGCUAACUACGUGCCAGCAGCCGCGGUAAUAC